UGAGGAGAUAAAAAGCCCUGGUCAAUAGAAUGCAGAUAACAUGAUUCAUCCUGGAAACAGGAGAGAAAAUGGCUCAAACCUCCUACUUCUCCCCAGUGGAGUUACAUAUUAAUGAAUGUGUAUGCGGAAUAUGAGUAUAUAUUUAAGAAAAAAACAAUACAGUAGCAGCAGAAAAAGAAUGUGAGCUGGUGUGGCAGAAAAUUGCUGACCGAGUCAAUGCCAACCCAACAGGCACAAAAUGUAGUUGGCAGCAACUGAAUAUAAAAAUGUCCUUCAAACAGAUUUGACCUCCAUUAUAGCCAAUACAAAAAAGGCUGAGGGACGAAAAACCGGUGGGGGCCCCCAAUCAGAACAGUAGGUGACCUAUUGCUGAAGGCGUCUCUGGAGGAAGCUCAUCUGACCCAACCACCCCCCAGAAAGGCCUACAUAAAAGGAGGAUGAUGAAGACACCUUGUCAGCUGCAACAAAGAGGGGGAAAAUACAAGCAAUUCUGUAAAUUACAAUGAGGAAGAGGGUCCAUCCACCUCCACGGUUCAACUUACCUCACUCCGUGUGAAACCACUGCAAGGUGUACUUAAGAGAAACAAAUUGAAAAAUGAAAUCUAGAAAUUGACCAAGGCUGCAGAAGCAAAAGAUAAAAAUAGAAAUACAACUGCUGGAAAAUCAGUUUUUAUGUUUGAACAACAUAAAAAAGAUUAACUACUGUCCUGCAUUUGUACUUGCAGAAAAUAAAGAAGACUUCAUGAAAAGGAAUACUG
This is a long non-coding RNA of Oncorhynchus tshawytscha (Chinook salmon), 758 nucleotides long. RefSeq lists it as uncharacterized. The record is from RefSeq and is a predicted model, not a curated record. NCBI's taxonomy places the organism in Eukaryota, Metazoa, Chordata, Actinopteri, Salmoniformes, Salmonidae. The transcript has 6 exons.